CCUACGGGUGGCAGCAGUGAGGAAUAUUGGUCAAUGGACGAGAGUCUGAACCAGCCAAGUAGCGUGAAGGAUGACUGCCCUAUGGGUUGUAAACUUCUUUUAUAUGGGAAUAAAAUGUUCCACGUGUGGGAUUUUGUAUGUACCAUAUGAAUAAGGAUCGGCUAACUCCGUGCCAGCAGCCGCGGUAAUACGGAGGAUCCGAGCGUUAUCCGGAUUUAUUGGGUGUACAGGGAGCGUAGGUGGAUUGUUAAGUCAGUUGUGAAAGUGUGCGGCUCAACCGUAAAAUUGCAGUUGAAACUGGCAGUCUUGAGUACAGUAGAGGUGGGCGGAAUUCGGGGUGUAGCGGUGAAAUGCUUAGAGAUCACGAAGAACUCCGAUUGCGAAGGCAGCUCACUGGACUGCAACUGACACUGAGGCUCGAAAGUGUGGGUAGCAAACAGGAUUAGAUACCCGUGUAGUC
Molecule: ribosomal RNA, 460 nt
Filed under: uncultured bacterium
Lineage: Bacteria
Description: partial 16S ribosomal RNA
Rfam family: Bacterial small subunit ribosomal RNA
Source: RNAcentral